RNAcentral lists this transfer RNA (74 nucleotides) under Spirochaetota bacterium. Its description in RNAcentral is "Spirochaetes bacterium (freshwater metagenome) tRNA-Arg". It matches the Rfam family "tRNA". From Rfam's summary of the family: Transfer RNA (tRNA) molecules are approximately 80 nucleotides in length. Their secondary structure includes four short double-helical elements and three loops (D, anti-codon, and T loops). The record is from RNAcentral. Lineage: Bacteria; Pseudomonadati; Spirochaetota.
GCGUCUAUAGCUCAGCUGGAUAGAGCGUUCGACUACGAAUCGAAAGGUCAGAGGUUCGAAUCCUCUUAGACGCG